GAUACCAUAAGGUUGAGUCAUGAUUAAGAUUAUGGCUGAAAAGAUGGUUUGGUUGUAUUAGAAAAUUACUUAUUUUUUAAUAUAUAGGUGAAAUUUUUAUUAGAUUUAGUGUUUAUUAGUAAUUAAUUAUAUUGAAACUAUUAAGUUUUUGGUAAAGACUGGGAUUAGAUACCCCAUUAUUCUUAAGAUUAAAUUGUAUAACUGCCAGAGUAUUACGAGUAAAUACUUAAAACUCAAAGAACUUGGCGGUGUUUUAAAUUUUUUAGGGGAACUUGUCUCGUAAUCGAUAGUCCACGUUGUAUCUAUCUUGGGUUUGUGAUCUGCUUGUAUACCGUCGUUUAGUUAACUUUUAAGAAGGUAAUAGUUAGCGAUAUAGAUUAUAGUUAAUCUAGAUAUCAGAUCAAGGUGCAGUUUAUGCUUAAGUGAGGAUGAGUUACAAUUAUAACGUUUGUAUUUCGGAUAAUUUAUUGAAAUAUAGAUUUAAAGUUGGACUUAAAAGUAAAUUAUUUUAUGAAUAUAUAUUGAAUUUUAUUUAAAACGUGC
RNAcentral lists this ribosomal RNA (543 nucleotides) under Glabella denticulata. RNAcentral describes it as "partial 12S ribosomal RNA". Lineage: Eukaryota; Metazoa; Mollusca; Gastropoda; Neogastropoda; Marginellidae. The record is from RNAcentral.